UACAGGGGGGGCAAGCGUUGUUCGGAAUUACUGGGCGUAAAGGGCCAGUAGGCGGCCAACUAAGUCACACGUGAAAUCCCCGGGCUUAACCCGGGAACUGCGUGUGAUACUGGAUGGCUUGAAUUCGGGAGAGGGAUGCAGAAUUCCAGGUGUAGCGGUGAAAUGCGUAGAUAUCUGGAGGAAUACCGGUGGCGAAGGCGGCAUCCUGGACCGACAUUGACGCUGAACGGCGAAAGCUAGGGGAGCAAACAGG
RNAcentral lists this ribosomal RNA (253 nucleotides) under uncultured bacterium. RNAcentral describes it as "partial 16S ribosomal RNA". It matches the Rfam family "Bacterial small subunit ribosomal RNA", at positions 524 to 776 of the family's 1533-position model. The record is from RNAcentral.